RNA transcript from Physeter macrocephalus (sperm whale), 2674 nucleotides. It is a transcript of the gene named family with sequence similarity 24 member A, with no coding region annotated. The transcript has 3 exons. Lineage: Eukaryota; Metazoa; Chordata; Mammalia; Artiodactyla; Physeteridae. The record is from RefSeq and is a predicted model, not a curated record.
AUGACUUGCCUAGCACAGGCCUAGUAUAUAGGAGAUAUCCAGUAAAUGUUAAAUUUUUCCCUCCCUCUUUCUACUCUUCUCUGUCUUCUUAAGUAGCAAGAGUGGGACUUCCCUGGUGGCCCAGUGGUUAAGAAUCCGUCUUGCAAUGCAAGGGAUGCCCGUUUGAUCCCUGGUUGGGGAACUAAGAUCCCACAUGCCGUGGGGCAACUAAGCCCGGGUGCUGCAACUACUGAGCCCGUGCACUCUGGAGCCCAUUGGCCACAACUAGAGAGAAGCUUGCCCACUGCAACGAAAAAUCCCAUGUGCCCCAACUAAGACCUGACACAGCCAAUAAAUAAAUAAACAAAUAUUUAAUAAAUAGCAAGAGUGACAUACGUGGUUCUUAAUAUCAUUACUAUUCCAGUACAUUUGAAAGUCCCUCCUCUCUCCCAUCUUAGGUGCUAUAGGGAAGUCACAUUCAAAGUCAAUUAUACUGAGCAGUCGUUCUUGAGUCUGGUUCCAGAAGCAGCAGCGGCAGCAUACCCUGGGAACCUACUUGAAAUGCAGAUUUUCAGGCCCUACCUCACAAUUCUGACUCUGGGGCCGGGCCCAGCCAUCCAUGGUUCAUCAAGUCCUCCAGCUGAUGUGGGUGCACGCUCAGUUUGAGAACCGCUGGUCUAUGUUUAAAAGCACAGGCUCUGCAGCCAGAUUGCAUGGGUUCCUUGCUAAACCCCACUGACACCCUCCAAAGGUGUUCUAUAACAGGCAGAAGAAAAAUCUAGACUUUUUACUGAGAGCUUUAAACCCCCAAAAGGUUUUGUCCUCGGCUAAUUUUUCCAACUCCGUCUCCUACCACCACUCUCCCCUGGAUGCAUCCCACUAUAGCCACCAUGGCCCUUUUCUUGUCCCUUGAACACACCAAACCCACUGCAGCCUUGGGAUUCUGUUUCUGUCUUCUUUGCCUGGAAUACGCCUCCUCACUUUGCUCCCCCGUUUUUCUAGACCUCUGCUGGAAUGUCACCUGUUCAGAAAGGUAUGUCAGCUAUUUUUACUUUCUUUUCCUUUAACCGUCCUUUAAGCGGUAGAUCUUUUCAGGACAAAUUCUUUUAGUUUUUCUUCAUACGAGAAUGUCCUUUUUCCUCCAUUCCUGAAUGAUGGUUUUGCCAGAUACAGAAUUUAACAGUUGUUUUCAUUCAGCACUUAGAGAAAUGUCAUGUACUACUCUCUUCUGGCCUCCAUGGUUACAAACAAGAAAGAAGUGCGUUGUUAUGUGAAUUGGUGUUCCUCUGUAGGUAAUGUGUUGUUUCUAGCUGCUUUCAAGUUUGUUUCUUUGUCUUUAGUUUUCAGAAUUUUAAUUGAGAAUGUGUCUUGCCGUGGAUUUUCUUGGCUUUAUCCUGUUCAGGAUUUUCUCAGCUUCUUGAACCUGUCUUUUGCCAAAUUUGGGGAGUUUUUAGCUAUUACUUCUUCAGAACCUCAUCCCCAUUCUCUCUCUUCGUUCCUCAGACUCUGAUGACAUACAUGUUGCUCUUUGGUUAUGGUCCCAAAGGUCCCUGAGGCUUUGUUAAUUUUUGUUCAGAUUAUUAAAUUCUCUUGUUCUGUCCUCAAGUUCGCUGAUUUGGUCCCCUGUCAUUUCCAUCUGCCGCUGAACCCUUCCAGUAGGUACACAUGGAACAGGAUUCGGAACUCCAUGAAAGAGCUGGUGUCCAGAGAGUUGAUGUCCCACAGCCUAUGGCCUGAUAGGCAUAGCAGUUGGAGCUGGACAGAGGAUAAAGUGUGUGUAAGAUGUUUGACCUCAAGAUUAUGAUUGCCAUUGGUGGCGGCUUACUGAUGACCGCAUUUGUGCUGAUAGGUGUUGUCAUCUGUCUUUACUUCCAAGUAGCUGACACAUUAAAGAGGUCCUGGUAAGAAAUGUGGAACUGACAUUCCUUACCCACCCACCCACAGGAAGAAUUCGGGAAAGGUCAAAAGGAGAGAGGAGACGCCAGUCCAUAUGUCUUACCAGCCUCCCAGAAUCUUUCUCGCUGGAAUCCAUCUCGGCUGAGCGAUGCGCGCGCCACCAGGAAGGACCCUGAGUCAGACCAGAUACGUGCCAAGCAAAAUGAUUGGCCAGAGACCACCCCGAAACUAACCCCAUCACCAUAAACCCUGAGACUGCGAGCCACGUGGCAGAGCAGUUCUCCUGGGUUCCCUUACCCUGCCGCUCUCUGCCCGGGCGCCCCUUCCCAACAAAGUCUCCUGCGCUGUCAGCACGUGUGUCUCCUCGGACUAUCCAUUUCCAAGUGUUAGACAAGACCCCACUCUCGGGCCCUGGAAGGGGUCCUCCUUCCUGCAACAGAUCCAACACUCCCACGCGAACAUUCCUCCAUCUAAAUCUCCUGCAGCUCUGAGUUAGCACGUCUGGCUUUGGCUCCACCUCGCUUACCCUUGUGUGUGGCAUAUAAUUCCUCCAAGCCCCAUUUUCCUUGUCUGUAAAAUGGAGGUAAUAGGACCCACUUGAUAAGAUUGUUCUGAAGAUUCGAUGGGAUGUUGAAGAGGAAAGAUCUUAAUUUAGAGACAAAUACGGUAAAAAUAUAAGUUUCUCCUGAGAGGAUAAGCCUCCAAGCAAUACAGUGCUUACCACUAAGACCGAAUUUGCAAUAACUUUCAGAGCAGUCUUUUUCUCAGGCUUCUAAAGUAUAUUUUCUUGAAAAUAAGA